This 77-nucleotide transfer RNA is filed under the name Bos taurus (domestic cattle). The record is from Rfam by way of RNAcentral. RNAcentral also lists the same sequence under 4 other names. Lineage: Eukaryota; Metazoa; Chordata; Mammalia; Artiodactyla; Bovidae.
UCCCAGGUGGCUUAGUGGAUAAAGAAUCUGCCUGCAACGCAGACAACGCACGCAGACACGAGUUUGAUCCCUGGGAU